GUCUACGGCCACGCCACCCUGAACCCCGCCGAUCUCAGAAGCUAAGCAGGGUCGGGCCUGGUUAGUACGUGGAUGGGAGACUGCCUCGGAAGACCAGGAGCUGUAGGCA
This 109-nucleotide ribosomal RNA is filed under the name Pteropus alecto (black flying fox). Lineage: Eukaryota; Metazoa; Chordata; Mammalia; Chiroptera; Pteropodidae. The record is from RNAcentral.